Long non-coding RNA from Anthonomus grandis grandis, 583 nucleotides. RefSeq lists it as uncharacterized. The record is from RefSeq and is a predicted model, not a curated record. The transcript has 4 exons. NCBI's taxonomy places the organism in Eukaryota, Metazoa, Arthropoda, Insecta, Coleoptera, Curculionidae.
UAAAACAAGUUUAAAAUUUAAUUUUUUACAGCUUACUGCCCCUGUUUGUCCUUCAGUGACACAAUAAAGACUGCUUCUUCCACCAUUCUCUGGAAAAUCUCUUUUUUGAUAUGCUUACUGCCCCUGUUGUCCUUCAGUGACACAAUAAAGCCUGCUUCUUCCACCAUUCUCUGGGAAAAACCCUUUUUUGCUAUGCUUACUACCCCUGUUGUCCUUCAGCGACACAAUGAAGACUGCUUCUUCCUCCAUUCUCUGGAAAAAAGUCCCUUUUUUGCCAUACUUACUGCCCCUGUUUGUCCUUCAGCGACACAAUAAAGUAUAUAUAAUGUAAUGCUUCAGUAUAUGAAAAUGCUGAUGUGCGAUAUGAAGUUGGAAUCCAUGGCGGCAACAGAGUAUUAACUUUUUGGGCCAGAUUCAAAAGAGUGGGUAAAUUUAUAAAAGUAUUUAAUAUCGUCACUGUAGUUUUAGGAUCCAGUAUACUUAAAAUGUUGUGUUUUGUAUAAGAUUUUUAGUUUUUAGUAUAAGCAUUUAUUUUUGUUAAUUUUUAUCUAAUCUCUCCUAAUAUGCAUAAUAACUAAAUACG